Molecule: long non-coding RNA, 277 nt
Filed under: Homo sapiens (human)
Lineage: Eukaryota; Metazoa; Chordata; Mammalia; Primates; Hominidae
Description: HSALNT0389300
Source: RNAcentral
CUGAGAUUGCACUUCUGCACUACAGCCUGGGAGCACUGCUCAGCACGCAGGCAUGUGAGGAAGCUGGGCUUAAAGGAGACUCCAGCAAAUGGAGAGACAGACCACAGUCCUGGGUUGGAAAGCUGAAUAUCGUUGAAUGCCAGAUCUUCCCAAAUAAAUGAACUGGCUUAAUACAAUUCUGAUCAAGAUGCCAACAAGAAGAGAGUGUAUCCAGACAAAAUGAUCUUUGGAAAAUAUUCUUCACCUUGUGGAAUAAACAGGAAAGCAUGGCUAACAA